CAGCUUCAUAGACGCGAAGAAGCCUUCCAGACUCAAAGAGAGACAAAGAUUUGGAAAUUUUGUAUACAACUCUCUCACAGAAAGACAACAACGUUUUGGGAUGAAGACUCUCACUAAAAGAGAACAUCGUUUGACAGCGACAGAGCAGAGCACAAAGCAAAACGAAAACGAAAACGAAAGUUAAAUCGAAGGAAGAUGCAGUGGAAAACCUUUGAGAGCGAGGGAAACACAGAGGGGAAAGCAACUGAGCAAAUUUGCGAAAAAGAAAAGGAAAACAAAAGGUAAAGCAACCACAGUCAAAAAGGGCAUCCAACGAUGAUCGACGCAUGGACCAAAUUGAAACCUCGAGAAUUCACAUAUCACACAAACACAUGGUCAUCAGGGGCAAGGUAGUAAUUCCACUGUACCCAAAGUGGAAAAAAUGCUGAUAAAAAGGGCAUUUCCGCCCUUUCACUAUUGCUGAACAGUGCCAUCCCAACCAGGUCUUAGCAUGUAUAACUAGCAAAGAUGCCCACGCUCCGCUGCGGGUUUAAAACCAUAACCACAAUUUAACACACCCAUCUCAAGUAAUGGGACUAAGUAACCUUUCCAACAAUGAUUAGCAACUAAAAUUGGUCCACAAAUUAAUAAAAAGAAAAGCCAAGUGAAAAUCUGAACACUAUCAGCAGAUACAUACAUAUCCAUACAUGGUGGAUCCAUAAAUUUUAUCAUGAGUUCAGGUGUAAACAACUUGAUUGGGCUCACGAUAUAGGGUAAAUGAGGUUUAGCAACAUCACUUCCAAAACUUACACAGAUCGUUUUACAGAGCAGGAGGUUAUGAGAAUUGAGAAAUAAUACAUAUGUAUGUGAAAUCUUAUAAUUGCCAUUAAUAAUACAUAUAAUGAGGUUUAGCAGCAUCACUCCCAAUUCUUCUAUCAUAUAAUUGCCAUUAAUAUACAUAUGUGAAAUCGUAAUCUAUGUGAUAAGACUUGAGAAAUAAAAAAAAAAACUCAAAUUCCUGAAAUAACGAAUGCACAAACUUCAUGAUGAGAUUGAAGGUUUAUCUGUAGAUCAUCAACCAAUGAUGCUUUUGCCCAAGCAAUCUGAUCAUUUCUCUCGGCCCCAAGCAGAGCAGCCUCCUUGGAUUUAGUAAGCCGAUCAAGUGUUUUGUUGUCAGCCUACAACUUGGUUACCU
This 1174-nucleotide long non-coding RNA is filed under the name Malus domestica (apple). Its description in RNAcentral is "long non-coding RNA (MDOM_LNC015902)". The record is from RNAcentral. Lineage: Eukaryota; Viridiplantae; Streptophyta; Magnoliopsida; Rosales; Rosaceae.